GGUAUCAGGUUUAGUCUUAUGUCGUAUAACAUUUUGGCUCAGGCGUAUGUGAAGAGCUCCUUGUUUCCCCACUCUCCAUCUUCUUGUCUCAAGUGGAAAGCCCGCUCGCAGGCAAUUUUGAGUGUUCUCAAGAACCUUGGAGUCGACUCUCUGCCUACAGGAAGUUGAUGAGUAUGAGAGCUUUUACAAAGGAAAUAUGGAGAGCAGUGGUUAUUCCAGUACCUACAUUCAGAGAAGUGGGC
Rosa chinensis is the source of this 242-nucleotide long non-coding RNA. RefSeq lists it as uncharacterized. Lineage: Eukaryota; Viridiplantae; Streptophyta; Magnoliopsida; Rosales; Rosaceae. The transcript is spliced from 4 exons. The record is from RefSeq and is a predicted model, not a curated record.